GUCCACGCCGUAAACGAUGGAUGCUAGCCGUUGGUAGGUUUACCUCUCAGUGGCGCAGCUAACGCAUUAAGCAUCCCGCCUGGGGAGUACGGUCGCAAGAUUAAAACUCAAAGGAAUUGACGGGGGCCCGCACAAGCGGUGGAGCAUGUGGUUCAAUUCGAAGCAACGCGCAGAACCUUACCAGCCUUUGACAUCCCGGUCGCGAGCACCAGAGAUGGAGCUCUUCAGUUCGGCUGGACCGGAGACAGGUGCUGCAUGGCUGUCGU
Molecule: ribosomal RNA, 266 nt
Filed under: uncultured bacterium
Lineage: Bacteria
Description: partial 16S ribosomal RNA
Rfam family: Bacterial small subunit ribosomal RNA
Source: RNAcentral